RNAcentral lists this ribosomal RNA (301 nucleotides) under uncultured bacterium. Its description in RNAcentral is "partial 16S ribosomal RNA". It matches the Rfam family "Bacterial small subunit ribosomal RNA", at positions 509 to 807 of the family's 1533-position model. The record is from RNAcentral.
CAGUAGCCACGGGAAUACGUAGGGUGCGAGCGUUAAUCGGAGUUACUGGGCGUAAAGCGCGCGCAGGCGGUUGUGUAAGACAGGUGUGAAAUCCCCGGGCUUAACCUGGGAACUGCGCUUGUGACUGCACAGCUAGAGUAUGGCAGAGGGGGGUGGAAUUCCACGUGUAGCAGUGAAAUGCGUAGAGAUGUGGAGGAACACCGAUGGCGAAGGCAGCCCCCAGGGCCAAUACUGACGCUCAUGCACGAAAGCGUGGGGAGCAAACAGGAUUAGAUACCCCCGUAGUCCCUGUCUCUUAUAC